UACGGAGGGUGCAAGCGUUAUUCGGAAUUACUGGGCGUAAAGCGCGUGCAGGCGGCUUGGAAAGUCUGAUGUGAAAGCCCCGGGCUUAACCUGGGAAGUGCAUUGGAAACUCUCAAGCUUGAGUACUGGAGAGGAAGGGAGAAUUCCCGGUGUAGAGGUGAAAUUCGUAGAGAUCGGGAGGAACACCAGUGGCGAAGGCGCCCUUCUGGACAGCUACUGACGCUGAGACGCGAAAGCGUGGGGAGCAAACAGG
This 253-nucleotide ribosomal RNA is filed under the name uncultured bacterium. RNAcentral's name for it is "partial 16S ribosomal RNA". It matches the Rfam family "Bacterial small subunit ribosomal RNA", at positions 524 to 776 of the family's 1533-position model. The record is from RNAcentral.